GCUCCGGGUAGGCGAGGCCCACGACGAUUCCGGCGGCGUGCGCCGGAUCGUUCGGAGCCUCGAGCGCCUCCAGUUCGACACUCGCUUCGAGGCGC
This 95-nucleotide transfer RNA is filed under the name Mycobacteroides abscessus subsp. abscessus. RNAcentral's name for it is "tRNA-Thr(cgt)". Lineage: Bacteria; Bacillati; Actinomycetota; Actinomycetes; Mycobacteriales; Mycobacteriaceae. The record is from RNAcentral.